Molecule: ribosomal RNA, 376 nt
Filed under: uncultured bacterium
Lineage: Bacteria
Description: bacterial SSU rRNA
Rfam family: Bacterial small subunit ribosomal RNA
Source: RNAcentral
AUACGUAGGUGGCAAGCGUUGUCCGGAAUUAUUGGGCGUAAAGCGCGCGCAGGCGGCUAUGUAAGUCUGGUGUUAAAGCCCGGGGCUCAACCCCGGUUCGCAUCGGAAACUGUGUAGCUUGAGUGCAGAAGAGGAAAGCGGUAUUCCACGUGUAGCGGUGAAAUGCGUAGAGAUGUGGAGGAACACCAGUGGCGAAGGCGGCUUUCUGGUCUGUAACUGACGCUGAGGCGCGAAAGCGUGGGGAGCAAACAGGAUUAGAUACCCUGGUAGUCCACGCCGUAAACGAUGAGUGCUAGGUGUUGGGGGGUUCAAUACCCUCAGUGCCGCAGCUAACGCAAUAAGCACUCCGCCUGGGGAGUACGCUCGCAAGAGUGAA